CCAAGUCUCGGGGCCCAAAGGCAGGCAUUGGUAAUUCAGAUAAAAGCAAGGGUUCUCAAGCAUCUCAUUCACUGUCAAGCUGGGCAGCAUGCUGAGGGCACUGAUGGCAGUGAGGGUGGCAGUGGCCAGAGUCCCAGCACGUGCCGCAACGUUCCAGGUGUUGCCUUUUCCAUGAGCAUUCCCCCAGCCAGUCUCAAGCCAUUCUCUGGGAGGAGGCGGAGCUUCUUCCCAUUUCCCUUGGAAACUUCUGUUCCAGCCACUUCUUCUCUACUUCCAGCAGCCAUCUCUGGUUUCCCUGCUCAUGAUGAUCUGGGGAAAAACACACCAACUCUCUGGUCCCUAUUUCUUGUCAAUCAGGAGAAAUGAGAGCAAUGACACCUGCCCACCUAGUAGAAGAGUGCCACCUCUCACCUGACAGAUCACAACCUCAGAUGACCAUUGCAGAGACAGGCACUCAAUGUGACAUCUUGGCAACUGCUUCUGUCAACAGAUCAGCACCUGGAGCACUACUAAGGUCACUUGGAAGUAGAUGGAGAUCAGAUUCACACCCCUCCCAAGCUCUUGACCUUGGAUGACAAUUCAGACCUGGUUUGGGGUCAAGACUUAACAUUUCCUGCUUGAGAUCCUGAGGCCAGCAGUGUCAUUUUAACAUUAAGGGCAUAAAGAUCCCUUGUCUUUAUCUAGGAAGACAGAGGGCUGUGUCACCUCCCCUGCCCACCUUGCCUGUCCCUGUCACUGCCUUGCUCAGGCUCUUAGCGCACACCCUGGUGAAAGUUCCUAAUCUUCAUCUUUACUCUGGGUUAGGUUUGGUGGUGGGGAUCCAGCCCUGGGCUUUGCACAUGCUAAGCCAGCUCCACCACUGAGCCCCGCCCUCCCUCAAUGUCAGCCAACUCAAGCCUGUUAAACCCCUCUUACUUUACCUAGGUCCUUAUCAUCUAGCUAAAUAGAACAUUAUUGUUUUAUUUUAA
This is a long non-coding RNA of Mesocricetus auratus (golden hamster), 968 nucleotides long. RefSeq lists it as uncharacterized. Lineage: Eukaryota; Metazoa; Chordata; Mammalia; Rodentia; Cricetidae. The record is from RefSeq and is a predicted model, not a curated record. The transcript is spliced from 3 exons.